GUGCGAAGCUGAGCAUCGAGGGUUCUUUAUUCUAUGAUAGAGGGGGAAGUAGGUGCUUUUUAUUGCUAGACGUCAUACGCCACAUCAUGGAAAGAAGGCAGCAGCUUUUGCUGCUAAAAAAGAAGCUCCUGCUUCUCAUUAUUUUUAGACGGCAAGAGCGACGACGCCGGCGCUGGUGGGUGCGACCCGUGUUCAUGCACCGAAAGGAAGAAGGGCUUUAUUACACGGCGAUGCGUCGGAUGAGAGAGGGGGACCAUGAUUUUUUUUGAGUUCUAUAGAAUGACCCCAGAAAUGUUUGACACUUUACUUUCAUUUGUGGUCAAGGACCUCAAACGCAAGUAUGUUGUGAGGGUGCUCCUUGAACCUGGUGAACGGCUUGCAAUAACCUUAAGCUACCUUGCAUCUGGCCAGGAAAUUAAGGACGUGGCACUGGCUUACAGAGUGGGCAUAGAGACGGCUAGGCUAUGCAUUCAUUUAUGCUGUCGAAGCAUUUGGGCGCGACUAAAAGAUCACUUCAUGAAGGUGCCCUCUGAGGCAGACUAGACAGAAAUUGCCCAAGGCUUUGCCUCCCAGUGGCAGUUUCCCAACUGUUUGGGAGCUGUGGAUGGCAAGCAUGUCGCCAUCACUGCAACUCCCAAUUCCGGCAGCCUAUAUUUCAACUACAAGAUGGUGUGCCGAGAAUGCCUUUGGGAUUAGAGGAGCAAGGUGGAAAAUGCUCCUACGCACAAUCAGCCUCCAUCCGACUAACGUCGAUUAUAUCAUCGAAGCAGCCUGCAUCUCAGCGUGAUCGAAAGCGAUCGCGCAAAUAAUGGACAGAAAGCCUAUCUUAAGACGAGAGAAGUUUGCUAUGAAAUCUUAGUAGGAUGUGUCUAUUGAAAGUUAAGUUCUCAGGAAUAGAGCUUUCCGCCGAGUGCCAAAAAUGGUGCAGGCGGUACUAGCUGAAUCCCACUUUCUCAAACGAUGCUUCUCGUAGAUUGUGCAGCAUACUCACCCAUAUUUCCGGAGAUGCGUAGAUUAGAUGUCGUGCAUGCAAGA
Long non-coding RNA from Dermacentor albipictus, 1035 nucleotides. RefSeq lists it as uncharacterized. NCBI's taxonomy places the organism in Eukaryota, Metazoa, Arthropoda, Arachnida, Ixodida, Ixodidae. The record is from RefSeq and is a predicted model, not a curated record.